Molecule: ribosomal RNA, 484 nt
Filed under: uncultured bacterium
Lineage: Bacteria
Description: partial 16S ribosomal RNA
Rfam family: Bacterial small subunit ribosomal RNA
Source: RNAcentral
AUUGAACGCUGGCGGCAGGCCUAACACAUGCAAGUCGAGCGGAUGAAGGGAGCUUGCUCCUGGAUUCAGCGGCGGACGGGUGAGUAAUGCCUAGGAAUCUGCCUGGUAGUGGGGGAUGACGUCCGGAAACGAGCGCUAAUACCGCAUACGUCCUGAUGGAGAAAGUUGGGGAUCUUCGGACCUCACGCUCUCAGAUGAGCCUAGGCCGGAUUAGCUAGUUGGUGGGGUAAAGGCCUACCAAGCCGACGAUCCGUAACUGGUCUGAGAGGAUGAUCAGUCACACUGGAGCUGAGACACGGUCCAGACUCCUACGGGAGGCAGCAGUGGGGAAUAGUGGACAAUGGGCGAAAGCCUGAUCCAGCCAUGCCGCGUGUGUGAAGAAGGUCUUCGGAUUGUAAAGCACUUUAAGUUGGGAGGAAGGGCAGUAAGUUAAUACCUUGCUGUUUUGACGUUACCAACAGAAUAAGCACCGGCUAACUUCGUG